Molecule: ribosomal RNA, 492 nt
Filed under: uncultured bacterium
Lineage: Bacteria
Description: partial 16S ribosomal RNA
Rfam family: Bacterial small subunit ribosomal RNA
Source: RNAcentral
AGUGAACGCUGGCGGUAGGCCUAACACAUGCAAGUCGAACGGCAGCACAGUAAGAGCUUGCUCUUACGGGUGGCGAGUGGCGGACGGGUGAGGAAUACAUCGGAAUCUACUUUUUCGUGGGGGAUAACGUAGGGAAACUUACGCUAAUACCGCAUACGACCUACGGGUGAAAGCAGGGGAUCUUCGGUCCUUGCGCGAUUGAAUGAGCCGAUGUCGGAUUAGCUAGUUGGCGGGGUAAAGGCCCACCAAGGCGACGAUCCGUAGCUGGUCUGAGAGGAUGAUCAGCCACACUGGAACUGAGACACGGUCCAGACUCCUACGGGAGGCAGCAGUGGGGAAUAUUGGACAAAGGGCGCAAGCCUGAUCCAGCCAUACCGCGUGGGUGAAGAAGGCCUUCGGGUUGUAAAGCCCUUUUGUUGGGAAAGAAAAGCAGCAGGUUAAUACCCCGCUGUUCUGACGGUACCCAAAGAAUAAGCACCGGCUAACUUCGUG